AUUGUAUAUAAUCUUAGAGCAUAAUCUUUGGAUGAAAAACUGUUUAUAUGUACCUGCCAUCUUCAAGAGAUAAUGAUAGAUUUCUUGAGGCUUUUGAUAACAUGGACAUAUGAUCUGCAUCUUUGCAUUUUCAAGUGCAAAGAUGCAGAUCAUAUGUCCAUGUUAAUAUCAAAGCCUCAAGAACUCUAUCUGCCC
This 195-nucleotide small RNA is filed under the name Arabidopsis thaliana (thale cress). RNAcentral's name for it is "ATSL109550". The stretch from base 96 to 167 matches the Rfam family "mir-5595 microRNA precursor family". Lineage: Eukaryota; Viridiplantae; Streptophyta; Magnoliopsida; Brassicales; Brassicaceae. The record is from RNAcentral.